RNAcentral lists this ribosomal RNA (253 nucleotides) under uncultured bacterium. RNAcentral describes it as "partial 16S ribosomal RNA". It matches the Rfam family "Bacterial small subunit ribosomal RNA", at positions 524 to 776 of the family's 1533-position model. The record is from RNAcentral.
UACGUAUGAGGCAAGGGUUGUUCGGAUUUAUUGGGCGUAAAGGGCAUCUAGGCGGGGUAUUAAGUCGGUUGUGAAAUCUCGAGGCUCAACCUCGAAAUUGCAUCCGAUACUGGUACUCUUGAGUUCGGAAGAGGAAGGCGGAAUUCUUGGUGUAGCGGUGAAAUGCGUAGAUAUCAGGAAGAACACCGGUGGCGAAGGCGGCCUUCUGGUCUAGAACUGACGCUGAAGUGCGAAAGCGUGGGGAGCGAACGGG